RNAcentral lists this microRNA precursor (74 nucleotides) under Myotis brandtii (Brandt's bat). Its description in RNAcentral is "mir-9193 microRNA precursor family". It matches the Rfam family "mir-9193 microRNA precursor family". Lineage: Eukaryota; Metazoa; Chordata; Mammalia; Chiroptera; Vespertilionidae. The record is from Rfam by way of RNAcentral.
CUCGGUGUGGGGGGGUUCCCUCAGCCUGGAUUGCGAGAGGGUGCAGGCCAGGCCGAAGACCCCACCAGUGCAUG